RNAcentral lists this ribosomal RNA (946 nucleotides) under uncultured organism. RNAcentral describes it as "bacterial SSU rRNA". It matches the Rfam family "Bacterial small subunit ribosomal RNA", at positions 1 to 917 of the family's 1533-position model. The record is from RNAcentral.
UGGAUCCAGACUUUGAUUCUGGCUCAGGACGAACGCUGGCGGCGUGCCUAACACAUGCAAGUCGAACGAGAAGAAAUGAGAAGCUUGCUUCUUAUUGAUUCGAGUGGCAAACGGGUGAGUAACGCGUAAGCAACCUGCCCUCUAGAUGGGGACAACAGCUGGAAACGGCUGCUAAUACCGAAUACGUUCUUUCUGUCGCAUGGCAGAAGGAAGAAAGGGAGGCUCUUCGGAGCUUUCGCUGGAGGAGGGGCUUGUGUCUGAUUAGCUAGUUGGAGGGGUAACGGCCCACCAAGGCGACGAUCAGUAGCCGGUCUGAGAGGAUGAACGGCCACAUUGAGACUGAGACACGGCCCAGACUCCUACGGGAGGCAGCAGUGGGGAAUCUUCCGCAAUGGACGAAAGUCUGACGGAGCAACGCCGCGUGAACGAUGACGGCCUUCGGGUUGUAAAGUUCUGUUAUACGGGACGAAUGGCGCAACGGUCAAUACCCGUUGUGAGUGACGGUACCGUAAGAGAAAGCCACGGCUAACUACGUGCCAGCAGCCGCGGUAAUACGUAGGUGGCAAGCGUUGUCCGGAAUUAUUGGGCGUAAAGGGCGCGCAGGCGGCGUCGUAAGUCGGUCUUAAAAGUGCGGGGCUUAACCCCGUGAGGGGACCGAAACUGCGAUGCUAGAGUAUCGGAGAGGAAAGCGGAAUUCCUAGUGUAGCGGUGAAAUGCGUAGAUAUUAGGAGGAACACCAGUGGCGAAAGCGGCUUUCUGGACGACAACUGACGCUGAGGCGCGAAAGCCAGGGGAGCAAACGGGAUUAGAUACCCCGGUAGUCCUGGCCGUAAACGAUGGAUACUAGGUGUAGGAGGUAUCGACCCCUUCUGUGCCGGAGUUAACGCAAUAAGUAUCCCGCCUGGGGAGUACGGCCGCAAGGCUGCAACUCAAAUGAAUUGACGGA